Non-coding RNA from Callithrix jacchus (white-tufted-ear marmoset), 621 nucleotides. Lineage: Eukaryota; Metazoa; Chordata; Mammalia; Primates; Cebidae. The record is from RefSeq and is a predicted model, not a curated record.
UUGGAAACCUUAGAGCAGUGCUUCUCAAAUGUUAAAUGUGCAUGCAACAAAUCACGUGGGCAUCUUAUUAAAAAUGCAGAUUUUUGAGUCAAGGGUCUGGAAAGGGCUGAGAUUGUAUAGUUCUAAGGAGAUGCCAGGUGUUGCCAAUUCUGCUGCACUGGACACCACACUUAGAGUGGCAAGGUCACUAAAUAAUCAGAGCCAAAGGAUUGUGAGAAUACCCUGACAUUAGGGAGAAGGAGGCUCACUGUAAAGACGAUGAGUGGGGCUACCACGUGGUCAGGAGGAAAAGACUCACAAAGAAAGAUGAAAAUUGUAGAGGUGCUGUGGAAAGAGCACAUGCUGAAGGAAUCCUCUGAAAAGCAGCCCAGAGGCAAUGACAUACUGGUGCCAGCAGAGGCGGAGAAGCACACUUUAGCACAACAAAAACUUAAAUGAAUCAUGCUCAAUGUGGAAAAUUUGAAUAGAUAUGGCUAAGGAUAAAAGACAACACACACCUAAUCUCUCUACCUAGAGAGAAGCAAGGUUGCUAUAUUUCUCUUCCUCAAUGCAUAUUUAUAUACUGUUGAUAUUUUUACUGUCCAUGAAAUUUUGCUUUAAUGAAACCUUUAAAUUAUGAAA